Molecule: ribosomal RNA, 253 nt
Filed under: uncultured bacterium
Lineage: Bacteria
Description: partial 16S ribosomal RNA
Rfam family: Bacterial small subunit ribosomal RNA
Source: RNAcentral
UACGAAGGGUGCAAGCGUUACUCGGAAUUACUGGGCGUAAAGCGUACGCAGGCGGUUUUGAAAGUUAGAAGUGAAAGCCCAGGGCUUAACCCUGGAAUUGCUUUUAAAACUCCAAAACUAGAGUACUGGAGAGGUUGGCGGAAUUCCGAGAGUAGAGGUGAAAUUCGCAGAUAUUCGGAGGAACACCAAUGGCGUAGGCAGCCAACUGGACAGUUACUGACGCUCAUGUACGAAAGCGUGGGGAUCAAACAGG